AUGGACCACAAGCAAGACACGGAGCCGCUGCUCCCGGCGGCGGACGAAUGGUGCCGGCAGGGCCUCGCCGCGGCCGAGGCAAAGCGGCUGGUUCGCCUCGCCGGGCCGAUGAUCACCAGCUGCUUGCUGCAGAACAUCAUCAACAUAAUGUCCCUCAUGUUCGUCGGCCACCUCGGCGAGCUUCCCCUCGCCGGCGCCUCCCUCGCCAACUCCGUCGCCAGCGUCACCGGCUUCAGUAUCAUCAUCGGCAUGGCGACUGCGCUGGACACGCUGUGCGGGCAGGCGUACGGCGCGCGGCAGCACCACCUGCUCGGCGUCUACAAGCAGCGCGCCAUGGUGGUGCUCGGGCUCACCUGCGUCCCCAUCGCCGUCGUCUGGGCGCACACCGGCCGGAUCCUGGUGCUCCUCGGCCAGGACCCGCGCAUCGCCGCCGAGGCCGGCGCCUACGCGCGGUGGCUCAUCCCGUCGCUUGCCGUGAGCGUGCCGCUGCAGUGCCACGUCCGGUUCCUGCAGGCGCAGAGCCUCGUCCUGCCCGUGACGGCCAGCUCGGCCGCCGCGGCACUCUGCCACCUCGCCGUGUGCUGGGCGCUCGUGUUCAAGGCCGGCAUGGGUGCCAAAGGAGCCGCGCUCAGCAACGCCAUCUCGUACGCCGUGAACCUGGUGAUGCUGUCCCUGUACGUCAGGCUGUCGAGCUCCUGCAGGGACACGUGGAACGGGUUCUCCAUGGAGGGGUUUAAGGAUCUGCGCAAAUUCGCCGAUCUCGUCGUGCCCUCUGCGAUGAUGAUCUGCUUGGAGUGGUGGGCUUUCGAAACACUUGUGCUGCUGUCUGGUCUUCUGCCCAACCCUCAGCUGGAGACUUCAGUGCUGUCAAUUUGCCUUAACACUGGGAUUCUUCUCUUCAUGAUACCAUCGGGGCUUGGUUAUUCUGUGAGCACGCGCGUUUCCAACGAACUUGGUGCCGGACAGCCUCAGGCAGCAAAGUUGGCAACGAGGGUAGUCGUGUGCAUCGCCUUGUUCCUAGGCUUCGUCCUGACCUUGGGCAUGACCCUGCUACGCCACGUUUGGGGGUACAUGUACAGCAACGAGCCGGAGGUCGUGGCAUACAUUGCCAAGAUGCUGCCGGUUCUUGGGAUAUCUUUCUUCAUAGAUGGCCUUCACGGAUCUCUCUCAGGCGUGCUCACGGGCUGCGGCAAGCAAAAGAUCGGCGCCACGGUGAACCUCGGCGCGUUCUACUUGGCAGGCAUCCCUAUGGCGGUGCUGCUUGCGUUUGUCUUCCAUCUCAAUGGAAUGGGCCUUUGGCUCGGCAUCGUCUGCGGCAGCCUCAUCAAAGUGCUCUUGUUUGCAUCUGUCACAUGGACCAUAGACUGGAGCAUGGAAGCUACCAAGGCAAAGGACAGGGUAUUCGGCUCAUCUCUGCCAGUAGCAUGA
RNAcentral lists this ribosomal RNA (1428 nucleotides) under Triticum aestivum (bread wheat). RNAcentral describes it as "partial small subunit ribosomal RNA". The record is from RNAcentral. Lineage: Eukaryota; Viridiplantae; Streptophyta; Magnoliopsida; Poales; Poaceae.